Molecule: long non-coding RNA, 1827 nt
Filed under: Homo sapiens (human)
Lineage: Eukaryota; Metazoa; Chordata; Mammalia; Primates; Hominidae
Description: non-protein coding lnc-SLC44A3-1:3
Source: RNAcentral
CAGGCAUCCUCCGCGGCGGGCCGGACCGGGCCGGCGGAGGGGAGCGGAAGCCCACCGGGGCUGGCCCGCCGCUGACCCGCCGCCUCCGUCUGCCUCCUCCCGGGCUCUGGGCCCAGCGCGCCCAGAUGCCGGGCAGGACCCCUCCGCCCGCUGCUGGAACACCAAUAGCAGCGUUGGAGCCUCUGGGCCGGAGGAACUGGGGCCUCCACCGACACCUGCUUCUUCCCUCACCUCGCAGCCUUCCACACCUGUUGAUCUGACCUCUGCCCCGCUGCCGCCCAGGAGUAACCUAAGGCUUUUGGCCUGAUUCGAGCUCACUCCGUCUAAACCUCUAAAUGCGGUGCGAAAAAAUCCUGGGGAAUGUGCCAUGCAAAGCCUGGGCAUUUCAAGUGCUUUUCUGGAUUCGCAUCAACUCCUCUUUACAGGCAUCUUUAUCCGGAAUUCAGCUCGUCCCAAACCCCACGUGGUGUAGCUCUGCUUGUGUUUUUGAAUCCCGGGGCCUCUUUGAAUCAGAAGCCCUUUGUAUAGAGAUAAGUAUCCUUUAGGCCAGAAUCAGCCUCCAUUUUUUUCGCAGUCCCAUUUCCUACCCGUAAUACUUUCUUCUGAUUUUAAAGCCAUUUGAUAGAGAAGGGACAGGGAACAGAACCUUCGCCCCCCGCCUGAGCAGCUGGUAGACUAGAUAUCUUCCAAACAUUAUCUCAUUUACUUCCCUGGAGUUACAAAUAGGUAGAUUUCAUGUCCGUUGAGGGGUGAGAAAGCUGAAACUUUGAGACUUAAGAAUCCUGGCCGAGGUCAGCCUCCUCCGAAGCUUCAUCUCUUGCCACCACUUUCUGGUGCACACCUAGGACAGAUUUCAAUCCCUGAGAUCCCAGGAUGAAACCUAUGUUUGCCAAAUACCAGCUACUGUGCCAGAAGAGAUCAUGGAACCAGGUGUGGAAAGCUGCUUGAGAAGAGGAGCCAAAACAUCAUAGUUGAACCGUCCUGGAAUAGAAACUCGCCCUGAAUUCUUUCUUGUGUGAAAUCCAAGAGCCCUCUCUUGGGGUUGGAUCGGGACCCUGUUCCUGUAACAAGUCCACAAUGCCAGAGAAUUAAAGAGAACCACAAAGCAAGACCAACUCCCCUUCUUCCACCUUCCCAACCUACUCAAUGUGAAGAUGAUGAAGAUGAAGACCUUUGUCAUGAUCCACAUCCACUUAAUAAAUGUUUCUGCCAUUUCAGUUCCUGUUAUCGUGCUUUGAGGUGCACUGAACUGCAGCAAACCCAGGGGAUCCAAGGCUACGUUGAAAAGCCUUUGACCACAGUGCAGGGAGCAGAAGACAUUAAUGACGUGAUGUCGACACAGCCCGCACUCAGGAUCCUCCAGGAAAAGAACACAGAGAUAACCCCGGAUCGAUGGUACUUUUUGAAAAUGCUUUAUUGCAAAAGAGUGGCUAGGGUUUUACAAGGGCUAUGAAGAAACAUAUUAAGGUUAAUAAAGCUUUUUAUUGAGUGUUUACUGAGUGUUACUAUGUGCUUUACAUCUAUUAACUCAUUUCAUCUUCAAAACAACCCUAUAAAGAUGUUACAACUAUAAUCCUAACCUUACAAAUGAAACAACUGAGGCACAGUGAAGUGCAGUGGCCUGCCCAGGUAAAAAGCAAGACAGAAUUUGAACCCAGGCAGCCUGACCCCAGGGUCCAGGUAUUAAACCAUUCUGCUAUAGUGCCUCUAAGAUAACAGAGAAACUUGAUGAAUUACUGGGUUACUGAAUUUUAGUUUACAUAGGUUGUUUUUUUCCCCUUAAGAGUAGAACAAAACAUACCUGAAGUAUGGAAAAUAACAUUUAUU